CCUACGGGUGGCAGCAGUGAGGAAUAUUGGUCAAUGGGCGAGAGCCUGAACCAGCCAAGUCGCGUGAGGGAGUACUGCCCUAUGGGUUGUAAACCUCUUUUGUCGGGGAGCAAAAGCCGGACGUGUCCGGCUGUGAGAGUACCCGAAGAAAAAGCAUCGGCUAACUCCGUGCCAGCAGCCGCGGUAAUACGGAGGAUGCGAGCGUUAUCCGGAGUUAUUGGGUUUAAAGGGUGCGCAGGCGGAUUUUUAAGUCAGCGGUAAAAUCGUGGGGCUCAACCCCAUCCAGCCGUUGAAACUGGGGAUCUAGAGUGUGCGAGAGGUAUGCGGAAUGCGUGGUGUAGCGGUGAAAUGCAUAGAUAUCACGCAGAACCCCGAUUGCGAAGGCAGCAUACCGGUGCACAACUGACGCUCAGGCACGAAAGCGUGGGUAUCGAACAGGAUUAGAUACCCCUGUAGUC
Molecule: ribosomal RNA, 458 nt
Filed under: uncultured bacterium
Lineage: Bacteria
Description: partial 16S ribosomal RNA
Rfam family: Bacterial small subunit ribosomal RNA
Source: RNAcentral